This 366-nucleotide ribosomal RNA is filed under the name uncultured soil bacterium. Its description in RNAcentral is "bacterial SSU rRNA". It matches the Rfam family "Bacterial small subunit ribosomal RNA", at positions 26 to 399 of the family's 1533-position model. The record is from RNAcentral.
AGAUUGAACGCUGGCGGCAGGCCUAACACAUGCAAGUCGAGCGGCAGCACGGGUACUUGUACCUGGUGGCGAGCGGCGGACGGGUGAGUAAUGCCUAGGAAUCUGCCUGAUAGUGGGGGAUAACGUUCGGAAACGGACGCUAAUACCGCAUACGUCCUACGGGAGAAAGUGGGGGAUCUUCGGACCUCACGCUAUCAGAUGAGCCGAUGUCGGAUUAGCUAGUGGUGAGUAAUGCUCACCAAGGCGACGAUCCGUAGCUGGUCUGAGAGGAUGAUCAGCCACACUGGAACUGAGACACGGUCAGACCUCACGGAGCAGCAGUGGGAAUGUUAGGACAAGUGGGACGACGAAGCCUAGACUUCGACG